RNAcentral lists this ribosomal RNA (89 nucleotides) under Streptosporangium nondiastaticum. The record is from RNAcentral. Lineage: Bacteria; Bacillati; Actinomycetota; Actinomycetes; Streptosporangiales; Streptosporangiaceae.
CCGGUUACAUUCCGAACCCGGAAGCUAAGCCUUUCAGCGCCGAUGGUACUGCAUGGGGGACCGUGUGGGAGAGUAGGACGCCGCCGAAC